AUGGCUCGUUUUCUUAGGCCGUCCAACUGCAUUGCCUACCUUCUCCUCCUCCUUGCCUUCUGCUGCUGCGGAACAGAACAGCGGAGAGUGGAAGCAUCCAACCGACUCACCCAACACCCAAGGAUCCUGACCACCGUCUCGGUGAUGAAACCAUCGUACCCCACGAUCACCACGCCCACUUCCGCAUCCUACGCUAUGCCGGCGUCCUCCAGGUUCCCGUCGCUGGCGGAUGCGAACGACGGCGGUGACGUCGGCGGAGGUGGCAUUGGCGGUGGCGGUGCUGCUGGUGGUGCCACCGGCGGUGGUGGUACUACUGGCGGUGGCGUGGGCGGCGGCGGUGCUACGGGCGGGGGAGCUGUCGGUGGCGUGGGCGGCGGCGGUGCUGCUGGAGGCAUCGGCGGUGGCGGUGGCGGUGGGGGUGGCGGGACGUGGUGCGUGGCGAGCCAGAGCGCGAGCACGUCCGCGCUGCAGGUGGCGCUGGACUAUGCGUGCGGCUACAGCGGCGUAGACUGCUCGGCCAUCCAGACAGGUGGGAGCUGCUUCAACCCGGAUACCAUCCACGACCAUGCGUCCUACGCCUUCAACAGCUACUACCAGAAGAACCCUCUCCCCACCAGCUGCGACUUUGGCGGCACGGCCACCAUCACCACCACCGAUCCCAGUUCAGGGUCGUGCCAGUAUCCAGCGUCAAGCGGCGGCGCUCAAGGGACCAUGCCCCCGCCAUCACCGACCACUCUGACGCCGACCACGCCGAUGACUCCGACGCCGAUGACCCCAUUCACCCCGACGCCAAUGACGCCGGACACCCCUAGCACCGGGACGCCUAUGUACGGAUCAAACUCGCCACCGGACUUCGGGUCGAUGUCCCCUCCAGGCCCAGGAUCAAACUCACCUCCGGACUACAGCGACGUCGGCGGCGCCCCGGCGACGGCGAUGGGCAGGGCAACGCUGGCUCUCGUCUCCAUCCUUGCCGCGACGCUAUCGAUGAGCCUCGCCACAUGA
This 1002-nucleotide ribosomal RNA is filed under the name Triticum aestivum (bread wheat). RNAcentral describes it as "partial small subunit ribosomal RNA". The record is from RNAcentral. Lineage: Eukaryota; Viridiplantae; Streptophyta; Magnoliopsida; Poales; Poaceae.